Molecule: ribosomal RNA, 226 nt
Filed under: uncultured bacterium
Lineage: Bacteria
Description: partial 16S ribosomal RNA
Rfam family: Bacterial small subunit ribosomal RNA
Source: RNAcentral
GAUCCUGGCUCAGGAUGAACGCUAGCUACAGGCUUAACACAUGCAAGUCGAGGGGCAGCAUGGUCUUAGCUUGCUAAGGCCGAUGGCGACCGGCGCACGGGUGAGUAACACGUAUCCAACCUGCCGUCUACUCUUGGACAGCCUUCUGAAAGGAAGAUUAAUCCAGGAUGGGAUCAUGAGUUCACAUGUCCGCAUGAUUAAAGGUAUUUUCCGGUAGACGAUGGGG